Molecule: ribosomal RNA, 512 nt
Filed under: Escherichia sp.
Lineage: Bacteria; Pseudomonadati; Pseudomonadota; Gammaproteobacteria; Enterobacterales; Enterobacteriaceae
Also listed under: 1 other name
Description: bacterial SSU rRNA
Rfam family: Bacterial small subunit ribosomal RNA
Source: RNAcentral
GGUGGGGUAACGGCUCACCUAGGCGACGAUCCCUAGCUGGUCUGAGAGGAUGACCAGCCACACUGGAACUGAGACACGGUCCAGACUCCUACGGGAGGCAGCAGUGGGGAAUAUUGCACAAUGGGCGCAAGCCUGAUGCAGCCAUGCCGCGUGUAUGAAGAAGGCCUUCGGGUUGUAAAGUACUUUCAGCGGGGAGGAAGGGAGUAAAGUUAAUACCUUUGCUCAUUGACGUUACCCGCAGAAGAAGCACCGGCUAACUCCGUGCCAGCAGCCGCGGUAAUACGGAGGGUGCAAGCGUUAAUCGGAAUUACUGGGCGUAAAGCGCACGCAGGCGGUUUGUUAAGUCAGAUGUGAAAUCCCCGGGCUCAACCUGGGAACUGCAUCUGAUACUGGCAAGCUUGAGUCUCGUAGAGGGGGGUAGAAUUCCAGGUGUAGCGGUGAAAUGCGUAGAGAUCUGGAGGAAUACCGGUGGCGAAGGCGGCCCCCUGACGAAGACUACGUCAGUCAAAGCG